RNAcentral lists this ribosomal RNA (253 nucleotides) under uncultured bacterium. Its description in RNAcentral is "partial 16S ribosomal RNA". It matches the Rfam family "Bacterial small subunit ribosomal RNA", at positions 524 to 776 of the family's 1533-position model. The record is from RNAcentral.
UACGGGGGGGGCAAGCGUUGUUCGGAAUUACUGGGCGUAAAGGGCUUGUAGGCGGCCAACUAAGUCCGACGUGAAAUCCCCAGGCUUAACCUGGGAACUGCGUCGGAUACUGGAUGGCUUGAAUUCGGGAGAGGGAUGCAGAAUUCCAGGUGUAGCGGUGAAAUGCGUAGAUAUCUGGAGGAACACCGGUGGCGAAGGCGGCAUCCUGGACCGGCAUUGACGCUGAGGCGCGAAAGCCAGGGGAGCAAACGGG